AAAACUGCAAUCAUAGAGUGUACAUUAUUUUCUUACUUUUUUCACCUAAUUUAGUUACAUGCACCAUAAUGCACUUUAUUUUAUUGCUGAAUAGUAUUCUGUUGUACACUUAAAUCAUAAUUUAUUUUACCAACUUGAUUUUAAUAAAUAUUUGAUGUAUUUUAGAGUUUUGUCUAUUAAGAGUAAAACUAAUGUAAAUAAUUGUGUUUCUGGUGUUUUCACUCAGUAUAAUUUGUAUUUCCAUUUUUCUUUUGCUGGGCAUGUAAUUUGUUUCCCAUUUUUGAUUACAGGAAUAACUCUACAAGAAUCAUUCCUGUAUAAGUUGUUUUGUUGACUCGUUUUUAAUUCUGGGCUAAGUACCUUGAAAUGGAAUUACUGGAAUACAGAAUAGAUUUAUCUAUAAUAUGAUAUAUUUUUUAAAACCUGCCAAACUAUUUUCGGAAGUGUUUCUACUAUUUUAUAUUCCUAACAAAAUAAUAAAAAGUUUUAGUUGUUCUUCAGCAUUUCCAACUUAUUUUGUCUGUAUUUUUUAUUUUAGCAACUUAGUAGGGAAGUUUGUGGUUCAUCUCAUUGUAAGUUCAUUUCCUUCAUGACUAAUUAUGCUGUGUGCAUUUAAUUUGCUUAUUGACCAUUUUUUAAUCUUCCUUUUUCAAGUGUCCAUGACCACAUUUUAGUCGUAUUUUUAAUUAUUGAUUUCUUAGAGUUGAUUGUAAAUUUUAUAUCAUAGUCCUUGCUUGGAUGCAUAUAUUGUGAGUAUUUGCUCUGACUUCAUGGCUGAUUCUUUAUUUUGCUAAUGGUGUCUUUGGAUGUCAGGAAUUUUAAUAUUAAUUAAGUCAAUUUAGCAAAUUUUCUUGAUAGUUAACGAUUUAGGUGAUCUCAUUAAAAAUCCUUCUUUACCAUGAAGAUAUUAUUUGAUGAGUUUAUGAAUUUUCAUAUUUCAGCAUUUAGGGUGAGGUACAUGAUUCAUUUUUAAAUGUGUUAAGAGUCCAGCAUUUGAUAGGAUUCAAGGUUUAUUUAUUUUCUCUACCAUCUAACCAAAACUGAACUUCCUUGGAACCUUUGUAGAAAAUAAACAUAGAAUACCUCUGGUUUCUCUCUUCUGUUUCAUUGAUCUAUUCGAUUUUCUUACACAAAUGCCACACUCUUCUGGUUAUUUUAACAUUGUAGUAAUUAUUGGAAUAAAGUUUAUUCAUCAUUUUUAAGAUUAUUCAGCUAUUCUAGAGCCUUUAGGUUUUCAUGAAAAUAAUUUAAUAAAGUUGUUCAUGUUUUCCAAAAAGAAUGUUACAUUCUUACUGGGAAUGCAUUAAAUCUAUAUAUAGAUCAAUGUGUGGACAAUUGAAUCUAUAAAUAUAAAAUAUUCCAAUUCAUUAGCUCAUUCUGUCUCUGUAUUUAUUUAUGGCUUCUUAAGUAUCUCCUUUCAGUAACUUAAAGUGUCUUGGUAAUGUUUUGCAUGUGUUUUGCUUAAUAUAUUCUUAAGCAUUUUAUAGUUUUCGAUGAUUUUAAAAGUAAUGUUUGUCUGAAAUUAAUUUUUAAGUUUUGCUUCUAGUGUCUGAAAUGUAAUUUUAAAAGACAUUGACCUUGUAUCCUACAAAUUUGCUAAUGUCACUUAUGGAUACUGGUAGUUUUUGCAGAUUCCAUAGGGAUUCCUGUGUAAAUAAUCACCUGAUCUGCCAGAAGGUCAGUUAUGCAUAUUUCUUUCUGAUGGUUUCAACUGAUUUGUUCUUGCCUGAUGGAAAUAGCUAAGACCCCCAGAGUAAUAAUCUAUGGAACCAGUGAUAGUGGACAUCCUUGCCUCAUUUCUUACUUUAGUACUAAAAAGCUCAAUAUUUGCACAAUAAGUACGAUGAUAAUUGUAGGUGUCAUAUAGAUAACUUUAUUCAGAUUAAGAAAUAUGUUUUUAGUUUGCUCAGUUUUGUCAAUAAUAUUGUUGAAUUUUGUUAAAUAACUUUUCUGUACCUACUGUGGUAAUAUAAAAUGUGUUAAUGUGGACAUAUACUUGGUUAUUUUUACAGUAAACUGACUUUGCAUUAAUUGGUUAGAAUAUAGUUGGUCAUGAUAUUUUAUCAACUUGUUAUUUUACUAUAUAUGAUUUGCUAAUAUUUAAGGUGUUUUCUAUUUUUAUGAGACACCAAAUUUCCUUCCUUCCUUUCUUUUCUUUUCUUUUCUUUUCUUUUCUUUCUUUCUUUCUUUCUUUCUAUCUUUCUUUCUUUCUUUCUUUCUUUCUAAUAUAACUCUCAGAAUUAGUACUAGGGCUGUAUUAGCCCCACAAAAAAAUCAAAGGAUAUUCUAUUUUUGCUAUUUUCUAAACAGUUUGAAUGAGAUUACUCCUAAUUUUUUCCUAAAUGUAUGAUAAAAUCCACGAAUGAAGCCAAUCUGGGCUGAAGUUGUGGGUUAUUUUGUCAUCACAGAUUUAAAUUACUAUUAAACAGAGGAUCAUAGGUUUCUGCAUUCCUCUUGGAUCAAUUUUAUUAGAUUCAAUCUUUCAAAAAAUUAUCCCUUUAUUGAAUUUGUCAAAUUUGUGUCACAUAUUUUAUUAUUAUAUUCCUUUUUUACUUUGCAAUGACUCUAGCAUCUAUAUCUCCCUUUUAGUUCUUAAUAUUGGAAAUUUCCAUUCUGACUCCAUGUACUGAGCCUUAGAAUUAUCAGUUCUAUUAAACUUUUCAAAGAAUAAAUUUCUGUCUUGGUUAAUUUUCUUUAUUUUAAUUAUAUUUUAUUUAUAUCCACUCAUAUAUAUUUCUUGCUUAAUUCUACUUACUUGGGUUAAAUUUUUAUGUCUUUCCUAAUUUUUUAAAGUGAAGACUUAAGACACUGAUUUUUAAACCUUUCUUCUUUUCUAAUUUCUUCUAAUUUGUCCAAUAUUUUAGUGCCUAUUGGAGGAAGACAAAGUCAAGUAAGAGUUCAUUUGUCAUUGUCAGCUGUGCAAUAAUUUUUAUCUCCCUUUUAAAAAUGUUUAAAUCUAGUAUACAAUACUUUUGCAGCUAUAACAUAUUAUUUAUCAAAUGGCAAAAAUUCUACUAAAUAUUGGAAUAACUAGUUUCAUUGUAAAAUAUUUCAAUAAUCCAAAUAUUUGAUUUCAAUAUAUUUACUUAUAAAACUGUGAUAUUAUUCUAUUAACUUAGAAUUUUCACUUGUAGAUUGAGCCAAAUAUUAAUUCAAUAAGAAAAAGAUUCAUUUUAAUGUUCUUUUUUUAUGAGACAUUUAGUGAUAUAUUUGCUGGUUAAGUACUCUAAGCUGAGGGAUGUUCCAAAUUAAAAGUGCAAAUCAGAAGUCAUAAUGUUUAUAAUUCUUUAUGCUGGUAAAAAUUUUGUUGCUAGGUGGAUAAAUCUGCCCACCAGCUAAAGCUGUAUUAGUAAUAAAACCAUGUCAUAAUUAUAGAGUAUCAAAUAAGAAUAACAUUUCCCAGCUAGAAUCUUGAAAUAUUUAAAUGACUGUUUAAAGUAAUCUAGAUUUCUCUAAGGAAAGGACAUUUUAAGUGGAACACAAAAUAUGACUAAUCUGGACAUACUCAACACUAAUUAAGAACAUUUAUCACUGGUAACCUGAUUCCUUUUCUUAUAAUUGCCAUUGCAUAAAAAUGUCUGAUCAACAUAAAUGUUUGAUUAGUAAAACAUUUUAUUACUUAUAAUAAUGCAUAUCAUAAUUGGCUCUGUAUGCAGAAGAUGGUAUUUUUAGUGAGUACUGUAGUUAUACAGUGAAAUGUUAAUUAAAACGGAAGUAGUAAACUGUUUGUUCCAAGUCCAAUUACUUAAUUAUGGAAUUAAACCAAUAUAAAGCUAAAUAAUUUGCCACUUCUACUCUCACUGGUAUUAUAAAAUGAUAUCCGAAUGAUUUCCAAAUUGAUUAGCAUGACUCUAACUGUCAUGAACUGCAGGUUGCCAGGAUAUUGAAUUCUCGAAACAGCUCAUAACUGUUUUUUUUUUAAUUCCCCUGAUGGCUGUCAGUGUAGCAGUGCAACUUAGCAAUAUAAGAAAGCAUAUAUUUUGGAAACAUUAGAAUGAAAAAAUGUUAUUGUCUUUCGUUCUUUAAAAAUUGCUAUUGUAAUGGUACAAAUUUUGGAGAUGUAUUUACUUUGGUUUGUUUUAGAAUUGACCUUAUCGGUUCAUAAAGAUUACACUAUAGAGCGUACUUUUAAACAAUGCUUUGAAAGGCAAAUGCUUUGAAAAUUGGUUAAGAAAAAUUCCAGUUCAGAAUUUACCACUUUCAAACACUACAUUGAAAAGUGCUUAUAAAAGUUGAUAUUUAAAACAAACAUAUCUUUUUCUACCCAAAGUAAUGUGAUUUUUUUCUGAUGAAUUACUACUAGGUUGGAAAAAAAUUAAAUGAUAUGCAUUUCAAUAGUAAAAUAAUUAUAUGGUUGACUAUGUUCAGAAAUUAGAUCCAUUCAAUUACAUAAAUUUUUAUGCUUCCCUAAUGCAUAAUUCAUAACUUUUAAGCUUGUAAUUCAUAAUUUUUCAGCUUGUCUAAUGCAAUGAAACAAAAAUAAAAUUUAAAUAGUUAAUCUAAAAAUGCUUGUCUUAUAUCUCUGUUUACCUCUCAAUGUAAUAUUAGACUAUCUUUCAAUAGAGACUAUUUUACACAAAUUUUCAUUAGAAUAGAUAAAAUAGACUGUUAAAGACUUUAGAAUUGGGGUGGAAUAAAUAAUUUUUUCUCUUGAUGUUGUCAUAAUGUCAAGCUUUGGAAUAAUAGAAUGGUUCCGUUGCUGCUGUCUAUUACUUUGCAUGCACUGAGGAUAGAAUAGCCCUCCUCAAUGUGGGGUGGUUAUGAUACCCUUUCCCAAAGAACUGUAAACUCUUAGAAGAGCAGGAGUUGUUGCAGUAUCCAACCUUCAAGAUGGCCUCCAAUGAUACCCAUUUCCACAUAUUUAUAACUGUGUACUUUUCUUCUGUUACCAAGGUUGAUACGUGUUACACAUAGAAUAUGGUAAAAGUGAUGGUAUGCCACUUUUGAGAUUACAUUAUAGAAGAGUGAAUUCCAUCUUGAGCCCUCUUGCUCACCUGCUCUUUCUCUCAUAUCACUCGCUUUGGGAGAAACCCUAUCAUGAACAAUCCUAAGGAGAGACCAACAUGGCAAAGAAGAAAAGCCUCCUGCCAACAAUCGUACGAGUGAACUUGGAAGUUGAUUAUGCCACCACAGUUGAACAUUGAGAUGAGUGCAGCCUCAGGCAAUGGACGUGACUGCAACCUUGGGACAGACCUUGAACCAAACCACCCAGAUACUAUGUUUAUUCGGAAUUGGUGGUUUCUGACAACCCUACAUGAGGAAUUCUGUUGACACCAUGUUUCCAACAGGAUGUGAUCACUUUGUAUCUUUGUCACAUUUUGAGACAGUGUUUUGUCAUAUUUUCCAGACUGGUCUUGGACCCCUGAGCUCAAGCCAUCUGCCCACCUUGGCUCCCCAAAAUACUGGUAUUCCAGGUGUGAGCCACUGGCCCAGCCCAGGUUUGUUAUGUGUUGCUUGCUUAAAUUAGAAGUUUCCAAAAACCUAUAAUGUUUAGUAAGAACUUAUUGUGCCUUAAAUAUUGCAAAGAUACCAAGGACGUAUGAAGAAUUGGUUUGGUGAUUAUAAUUUUAUUGUACUCUCUUCAAUAAAAUGUCAAUUUUAAGAACCUCU
Molecule: long non-coding RNA, 5610 nt
Filed under: Homo sapiens (human)
Lineage: Eukaryota; Metazoa; Chordata; Mammalia; Primates; Hominidae
Description: HSALNT0085488
Source: RNAcentral